UAUCGGAGAGUUUGAUCCUGGCUCAGGACGAACGCUGGCGGCGUGCCUAAUACAUGCAAGUCGAGCGAAGAGAUGGGAGCUUGCUCCCUGAUCUUAGCGGCGGACGGGUGAGUAACACGUGGGCAACCUGCCCUGCAGACUGGGAUAACUCCGGGAAACCGGAGCUAAUACCGGGUAAUACAUCGCACCGCAUGGUGCAAUGUUGAAAGUUGGCUU
Molecule: ribosomal RNA, 216 nt
Filed under: Guptibacillus hwajinpoensis
Lineage: Bacteria; Bacillati; Bacillota; Bacilli; Caryophanales; Guptibacillaceae
Description: partial 16S ribosomal RNA
Rfam family: Bacterial small subunit ribosomal RNA
Source: RNAcentral